This 253-nucleotide ribosomal RNA is filed under the name uncultured bacterium. Its description in RNAcentral is "partial 16S ribosomal RNA". It matches the Rfam family "Bacterial small subunit ribosomal RNA", at positions 524 to 776 of the family's 1533-position model. The record is from RNAcentral.
UACAGAGGGUGCAAGCGUUAAUCGGAAUUACUGGGCGUAAAGCGAGCGUAGUCGGUUGUCUAAGUCGGAUGUGAAAGCCCCGGGCUCAACCUGGGAAUUGCAUUCGAUACUGGGCAGCUAGAGUUCGGCAGAGGGAAGCGGAAUUUCCGGUGUAGCGGUGAAAUGCGUAGAUAUCGGAAGGAACAUCAGUGGCGAAGGCGACUACCUGGCCUGUUCUUGACGCUGAGGCGCGAAAGCCAUGGGAGCAAACGGG